Molecule: ribosomal RNA, 331 nt
Filed under: uncultured eukaryote
Lineage: Eukaryota
Description: partial 18S ribosomal RNA
Rfam family: Eukaryotic small subunit ribosomal RNA
Source: RNAcentral
CCCUUCGAUGUUCUGGGCCGCACGCGCGCUACACUGUUCGACGCAGCGAGUCUUAACCUUGACCGAAAGGUUUGGGUAAUCUUCAGCAAAGUCGAACGUGAUGGGGAUCGAUCAUUGCAAUUAUUGAUCGUGAACGAGGAAUUCCUAGUAAGUGCAAGUCAUCAGCUUGCGCUGAUUACGUCCCUGCCCUUUGUACACACCGCCCGUCGCUACUACCGAUUGAAUGGUUUAGUGAGAUCUCUGGAUUGACGCUGGCUAGGGGGCGACCCUUGGCCAGACUGUUGAGAAACUGCUCAAACUUGAUCAUUUAGAGGAAGUAAAAGUCGUAACA